Molecule: non-coding RNA, 159 nt
Filed under: Marininema halotolerans
Lineage: Bacteria; Bacillati; Bacillota; Bacilli; Caryophanales; Thermoactinomycetaceae
Description: GlcN6P sequence
Rfam family: glmS glucosamine-6-phosphate activated ribozyme aptamer
About the family: This entry contains a glucosamine-6-phosphate activated ribozyme that is found in the mRNA for GlmS.
Source: RNAcentral
AACUGUUGUUAAGCGCCAGGACUGCGGGACACGCAGUUGACGAGGUGGAGGGAAAUCGAUCCUUCGGCGGAUACCUCCCGGCUUAUGCAUCGAAGCCGUGGAGCCAACGCACAAAUCGAUGAGGUGACUCAUCUGACAAAAGUGUUGGCGCGAUGCUGU